AGAGUUUGAUCAUGGCUCAGGACGAACGCUGGCGGCGUGCCUAACACAUGCAAGUCGAGCGGAGACAGUGAGUAGCUUGCUAUGAGCUGUUUUAGCGGCGGACGGGUGAGUAACGCGUGAGCAACCUUUCCCAGACAGGGGAAUAACACGCCGAAAGGUGUACUAAUACCGCAUAAGACCACGGGAUCACAUGGUUCUGGGGGUAAAAAGAUUUUAUCGGUUUGGGGUGGGCUCGCGUCCGAUUAGGUAGUUGGUGAGGUAACCGG
RNAcentral lists this ribosomal RNA (266 nucleotides) under uncultured bacterium. RNAcentral describes it as "partial 16S ribosomal RNA". It matches the Rfam family "Bacterial small subunit ribosomal RNA", at positions 8 to 263 of the family's 1533-position model. The record is from RNAcentral.